UUGUUAUAUGAAAAGAGAGAAGGUAAGUACUACUUUGACAUGGACGGAAUGGCGUCUGGGCUUAAAAUACCUAUAAACGGUUAAGGCGCAUCGCUUAACAGCAUUUUUUU
Small nuclear RNA from Argiope bruennichi, 110 nucleotides. NCBI's taxonomy places the organism in Eukaryota, Metazoa, Arthropoda, Arachnida, Araneae, Araneidae. The record is from RefSeq and is a predicted model, not a curated record.